Molecule: small nucleolar RNA, 66 nt
Organism: Carcharodon carcharias (great white shark)
Lineage: Eukaryota; Metazoa; Chordata; Chondrichthyes; Lamniformes; Lamnidae
Product: small nucleolar RNA SNORD58
Exons: 1
Source: RefSeq, a predicted model, not a curated record
UUGCAGUGAGGACCAUCUUAGGACACCUUUGGAAUAAUCGUGAAAACAAUUAAAUAUCUGAGCUGC